RNAcentral lists this ribosomal RNA (1275 nucleotides) under Triticum aestivum (bread wheat). RNAcentral describes it as "partial small subunit ribosomal RNA". The record is from RNAcentral. Lineage: Eukaryota; Viridiplantae; Streptophyta; Magnoliopsida; Poales; Poaceae.
AUGGCUCCGCCGGCGUGGAUCAUCCUCGGCGCCGAGACGCGCGUGUCGGAGCACCAGGACGCGGACCUCUCCCUCGAGCUCGCCGCGCCGCCGCGCGUCUCCGUCCUCACCGUGCCCCGGCGCGUGUCCCCCGUCCAGGCCGACCCCACCAGCGGCGCCUGCCCCUGGGUGGUCACCGCGGACCCUGCCGCCGGCCUCCUCCUCCUCCGCGCCCCGCCACCCCCUCCCACUCACUCUCUAACUCCCCCGCCGACCCUCCGCAACGGCGUGCUGGUCCCCGCUGUCACCUACAUCACGCGCCACCCGCCGACCUACUUCGUCUGCGACGUCGCCUCCGCCACCGCCUUCCGCCUCCCGCAACCCGGCCGCGACCCUAGCGGGCUACCUCCGGAGAUCAACGCGCUGAACCUCGGCGUCGUCGCUGCCCCCGGAGCCGGAGGCGGCGCCCUGCGCUACAUGGUCGUCGAGUUCCGCUACAUGUUUGCAGACGAACACGCUACGCUCCUCUGCCUCUCGUCCGACACCGGCGAGUGGGUGUCGAAGCCGGUCCACAACCCCCUGGGGCGCUGGAUUUGGGGCAGAGACGGCGUCGUCGCCCACGACGGCAAGCUCUGGUGGGUGGAUCUCGCCGGGGGGCUCAUCUUCUGCAACCCCUUCGCGGAUGCGCCGGUGCUGGACAUCAUCCCGCUCCCAGAAAGCGACUGCCAUCUGCCUCGUGCCUCGUGCGCCCACUGCGCCGGGAGAUCGGUGGCCCACCGCCGGUUCGUGCAGGUGAGCGCUGGCAAGUUCCGUUGCGUGGAGUGGAACUCUCGCAGCAACGACGAGGCUCCCAUGACGGUCAGCAUGUGGACGCUGAGUGAUCCGGAGGCCAAGGAGUGGGUGCUGGAGUACAAGGUGAGCUUUCAGGAGAUCUGGGCCGACGACAGCUACAAGGCUGCCGGCCUGACGGAGAAGAACCCCACAUUCGCGCUCGUCCACCCCAUGAAUCCGGACGUGCUCUACUUCUUCCUGGAGGAGCACCUCUUCGGCGUGGACCUGCGCGCCAAGAGGGUUGUGGAGUGCGGCGUGUACGAGAUGGUGGUGCCACCGUCAGGGAAGCCCCCCAACUGUUUCUCCGUCCGCGCAUUGGAGCUGCCGAUCGCGCUUUCCCCAGUUGCUGUUUAUGCAGGUUUGCUUCCAUCUGAUGUUGGCAGCGGUUCCAACGGCGAGGAGUCUACCCCAUGGGCGUCAUCUGUUUCCUUGGGAGGAAGCGCUGAGUCUGCAGAUCGAGUUUGA